Molecule: ribosomal RNA, 253 nt
Filed under: uncultured bacterium
Lineage: Bacteria
Description: partial 16S ribosomal RNA
Rfam family: Bacterial small subunit ribosomal RNA
Source: RNAcentral
UACGAAGGGGGCUAGCGUUGCUCGGAAUUACUGGGCGUAAAGGGCGCGUAGGCGGGCGAGCGAGUCCGGGGUGAAAUCUUUCGGCUUAACCGGAAAAGGGCCUCGGAUACCGGUCGUCUGGAGGGAGGUAGGGGCAGUUGGAACUUCCGGUGGAGCGGUGAAAUGCGUUGAUAUCGGAAGGAACGCCGGUGGCGAAAGCGAGCUGCUGGACCUCAUCUGACGCUGAGGCGCGAAAGCCAGGGGAGCGAACGGG